GUGGGGAAUAUUGCGCAAUGGGCGGAAGCCUGACGCAGCGACGCCGCGUGGGGGAUGACGGCCUUCGGGUUGUAAACCUCUUUCAGUAGGGACGAAGCGGAAGUGACGGUACCUACAGAAGAAGCACCGGCCAACUACGUGCCAGCAGCCGCGGUAAUACGUAGGGUGCAAGCGUUGUCCGGAAUUAUUGGGCGUAAAGAGCUCGUAGGCGGUUUGUUGCGUCGGCUGUGAAAUCCCGAGGCUCAACCUCGGGUCUGCAGUCGAUACGAGCAAACUAGAGUGUUGCAGGGGAGACUGGAAUUCCUGGUGUAGCGGUGAAAUGCGCAGAUAUCAGGAGGAACACCGGUGGCGAAGGCGGGUCUCUGGGCAACAACUGACGCUGAGGAGCGAAAGCGUGGGGAGCGAACAGGAUUAGAUACCCUGGUAGUCCACGCCGUAAACGUUGGGCGCUAGGUGUGGGGCUCAUUCCACGAGUUCCGUGCCGCAGCUAACGCAUUAAGCGCCCCGCCUGGGGAGUACGGCCGCAAGGC
Molecule: ribosomal RNA, 530 nt
Filed under: uncultured Blastococcus sp.
Lineage: Bacteria; Bacillati; Actinomycetota; Actinomycetes; Geodermatophilales; Geodermatophilaceae
Description: bacterial SSU rRNA
Rfam family: Bacterial small subunit ribosomal RNA
Source: RNAcentral